This 250-nucleotide ribosomal RNA is filed under the name uncultured prokaryote. Its description in RNAcentral is "partial 16S ribosomal RNA". It matches the Rfam family "Bacterial small subunit ribosomal RNA", at positions 524 to 773 of the family's 1533-position model. The record is from RNAcentral.
UACGGAAGGUCCGGGCGUUAUCCGGAUUUAUUGGGUUUAAAGGGAGCGCAGGCGGGAUGUUAAGCGUGACGUGAAAUCCGGGGGCCCAACCUUCGGCGUGCGUCGCGGACUGGCGUCCUUGAGUGCACUGAAAGCGUGCGGAAUUCGUGGUGUAGCGGUGAAAUGCUUAGAUAUCACGAAGAACCCCGAUUGCGAAGGCAGCUCGCUGCGGUGUUACUGACGCUGAGGCUCGAAGGUGCGGGUAUCGAAC